CCUUCCGUAAGGGGAACCUGCGGAAGGAUCAUUAACGAAGCCAAUUUAUUUUGGCAUUAUUCUUUCAAUUCUGUGAACUUGAAAUUUGCUUUGGGUUGGAAGUUGAUUUAAGAAAGCUUUCAGUUUUUUUAUUCUAUCUUCUACCCAACAUUUUAAACUCUUAACCUUUGAAUCAUGUCUGACUGAUUAAAUAAAAAAUUAAUCAAAACUUUCAACAACGGAUCUCUUGGUUCUCGCAUCGAUGAAGAACGCAGCAAAACGCGAUAUGUAGUGUGAAUUGCAGAAUUUUGUGAAUCAUCGAAUUUUUGAACGCACAUUGCGCCCUCUGGUAUUCCGGAGGGCAUACCUGUUUGAGCGUCAUUUCUUCUUCAUUUUCAAAUGGUUUUGUGUGUCUUUUUUUGUACAUUGUACAAAAUCACACUAAAUAUAAUGGCAUGAUUGUUAUUCUUGUGAAAGCGUUUUAGGUUUACCAACUACGUAAAUAACAGAUGACAGUGGUCAGGCCUAUAUAACCUCCAUUUCAAAAUUUGACCUCAAAUCAGGCAGGAAUACCCGCUGAACUUAAGCAUAUCAAUAAGCGGAGGAAAAGAAACCAAC
Molecule: ribosomal RNA, 597 nt
Filed under: Spencermartinsiella sp. UFMG-CM-Y2169
Lineage: Eukaryota; Fungi; Ascomycota; Dipodascomycetes; Dipodascales; Trichomonascaceae
Description: eukaryotic LSU rRNA
Rfam family: 5.8S ribosomal RNA (bases 207-360)
Source: RNAcentral